AGAGUUUGAUCCUGGCUCAGAUUGAACGCUGGCGGCAUGCCUUACACAUGCAAGUCGAACGGCAGCACGGGAGCAAUCCUGGUGGCGAGUGGCGAACGGGUGAGUAAUGUAUCGGAACGUACCUUUCAGUGGGGGAUAACGUAGCGAAAGUUACGCUAAUACCGCAUAUUCUGUGAGCAGGAAAGCAGGGGAUCGCAAGACCUUGCGCUGAUUGAGCGGCCGAUAUCAGAUUAGCUAGUUGGUGAGGUAAAGGCUCACCAAGGCGACGAUCUGUAGCGGGUCUGAGAGGAUGAUCCGCCACACUGGAACUGAGACACGGUCCAGACUCCUACGGGAGGCAGCAGUGGGGAAUUUUGGACAAUGGGGGCAACCCUGAUCCAGCC
Molecule: ribosomal RNA, 383 nt
Filed under: uncultured bacterium
Lineage: Bacteria
Description: bacterial SSU rRNA
Rfam family: Bacterial small subunit ribosomal RNA
Source: RNAcentral